Molecule: ribosomal RNA, 398 nt
Filed under: uncultured bacterium
Lineage: Bacteria
Description: bacterial SSU rRNA
Rfam family: Bacterial small subunit ribosomal RNA
Source: RNAcentral
GGGGACAGAAUGACAGGUGGUGCAUGGUUGUGUCACUCGUGUCGUGAGAUGUUGGGUUAAGUCCCGCAACGAGCGCAACCUUAUUACUAGUUGCCAGCAUUCAGUUGGGCACUCUAGUGAGACUGCCGGUGACAAACCGGAGGAAGGUGGGGACGACGUCAAAUCAUCAUGCCCCUUAUGACCUGGGCUACACACGUGCUACAAUGGAUGGUACAACGAGUCGCGAAACCGGAGGUUAGCUAAUCUCUUAAAACCAUUCUCAGUUCGGACUGUAGGCUGCAACUCGCCUACACGAAGUCGGAAUCGCUAGUAAUCGCGGAUCAGCAUGCCGCGGUGAAUACGUUCCCGGGCCUUGUACACACCCCCGUCACACACAGAGAGUUUGUAACACCCAAAGC